CCUACGGGAGGCAGCAGUGAGGAAUAUUGGUCAAUGGGCGAGAGCCUGAACCAGCCAAGUCGCGUGAGGGAAGACGGUCCUAUGGAUUGUAAACCUCUUUUGCCGGGGAGCAAAAAGCGGUACGUGUACCGCAUCGAGAGUACCCGGAGAAAAAGCAUCGGCAAACUCCGUGCCAGCCGCCGCGGUAAUACGGGGGAUGCGAGCGUUAUCCGGAUUUAUGGGGUUUAAAGGGUGCGCGGGCGGCGAGUUAAGUCAGCGGUAAAAUUUCGGGGCUCAACCCCGACGAGCCGUUGAAACUGGCUUGCUAGAGUGGGCGAGAAGUAUGCGGAAUGCGUGGUGUAGCGGUGAAAUGCAUAGAUAUCACGCAGAACUCCGAUUGCGAAGGCAGCAUACCGGCGCCCAACUGACGCUCAGGCACGAAAGCGUGGGUAUCGAACAGGAUUAGAUACCCGUGUAGUC
RNAcentral lists this ribosomal RNA (459 nucleotides) under uncultured bacterium. RNAcentral's name for it is "partial 16S ribosomal RNA". It matches the Rfam family "Bacterial small subunit ribosomal RNA", at positions 338 to 795 of the family's 1533-position model. The record is from RNAcentral.